UGACCCCAGGUCAGGCGAGAUUACCCGCUGAGUUUAACCAUAUCAAUAAGCGGAGGAAAAUAAACUUACAAGGAUUCCCUUCGUAACGGGGAGCUAAUCGGGAACAGCCCAACAUUAGAAUCUGGCGGCUACAUCGUCCGAAUUGUAUUCUGGAGAAGCGUCCUCAGCGGAGGAUCGGGCCCAUGUCCCCUGGAAGGGGACGCCAGAGAGGGUGACAGCCCCGUUGUCCCUGGACCCUGCCACACGACGAGUCGCUGUCUACGAGUCGGGCUGUUUGGGAAUACAACUCAAAUCAAGCGGUGAAUUUCGUCCUAGGCUAAAUACCAGAGAGAGACCGAUAACGAACAAGUACCGCGAGGGAAAGAUUAAAAGGACUUUGAAAAUAGAGUCAAAGAGUGCUUGAAAUUAUUGGGAGGGAAGAAGAUGGAAGCUGACGAUGCACCCUGGUCAUAUGUGGAACGGUGACGAGCUGGUUCGUCGAUCGACUCGGGGCGUGGACCAGCGUGGAUUAGGGGGGCGGUCAAAGCCCGAGUUCUUGAUAUGCCCGUGGAAUGCUGUCUCAUUGAUUUUGGUACGAAGCGUGCGCUUCUGGCGUGCUUCGACAUCUGUGUGCUCCGGACACUAGCUGUGGGCUCCCCAUUUGACCCAUCUUUAAACACCAACCAAGGAGUUUGACAUGUUUCCGACUCAAUGAGUUAGUAAAUUCGUAAGGCAUAAGGAAUCUGAUUCGUGGGAUCCUCUUGAGGGGUGCACCGCCGCCGACCUUGAUCUUCUGAGAAGGGUUCGAGUGUGAGCAUACCUGCUAGGACCCGAAAGAUGGUGAAUUAUGCCUGAGCGGGGAGAAGCCAAAGCAUACUCUAGUGGAGGACCGUUGUGAUACUGAUGUGCAAAUCGUUCAUCUGACUUGGGUAUAUGGGCGAAAGACUAAUUGAACCAUCUAGUAACUAGUUCCAUUCGAAGUUUCCCUCAGAAUAGCUAGAGAUCGGGUGCGAAUUUUAUCGGAUAAAGCCAAUGAUUUGAGGCUUCAUGGGGCAACACCCUGACCUAUUUUCAAACUUUAAAUCAUAAGGAUGACGUGACUGCUUUGUUGAGCUGCACCACGGAAUCAAGAACUCCAAGUGGGCCAUUUUUGGUAAGCUGGACUGGCAAUGAGGGAUGAACCGAAAGCCGGCUUAUGGUUCCAAACUGCAUUCUAACCAAGAUCCAACAAAGGGUGUUGGUCAAUUAAGACAGCAGGAAAGUGGUCAUGGAAGUCAAAAUCCGCUAAGGAGUGUGUACCAACUCACCUGCGGAGUAAACUAGCCCCGAAAAUGGAUGGGCACUUAAGUGUGCGAUCUACACUUAGCCGUCGGGGUAAAUGCCAGACCCCGAAGAGUUGGAGGGAAUGGCGGUCGCUCCAAAACCUUGGGCAUGAGCCUGUGCGGAGAAGCCGUUAAUGUAGAUCUUGGUGGUAGUAGAAAAUAUUCAAACGAGAACUUUGAAGGCCGAAAAGGGGAAAGGUUCAAUGUGAACGGCACCAGCACAUGGGUUAGUCAAUCCUUUGGGUCGGGGGAACCCCAACAGAUAGCGCAUUUCGUGCGUACUCCGGAAGGGAAUGGGUUAAAAUUCCUGAACCUGAACGUGGAGGUUGACGACAACGUUAGGAAGUCGGCAAACGUUGGUGGGACCUUCGGGAAGAGCUGUCUUUUUUGUUUAACAGCAUGCCCACCGUGGAAUCGGCUUGCCGGAGGUAGGGUCCAGCGGCUGGAAGAGCACCAGACGUCACGUGGUGUCUGGUGCGCUCUCGACUAUCCUUGAAAAUCUAGAGGACCUAAUGUCGUCCACACUCGGUCGUACUCAUAACUGCAUCAGGUCUCCAAGGUGAAUAACCUCUAGUUGAUGGAACAAUGUAGGCAAGGAAAGUCAGAAAAAUGGAUCCGUAACUUCGUGAAAAGAAAUAUGCUCGGAGUGUUUCGCAUGGGGGUCCUAGUACUGAACCCACUGGCUGUUGAUGAACUGCAUGAGCUGAUCCCACGGAAAUUGUGGGUUACCGUGUGCCGGAUGGGGGACGGACUGGGAACGGUUCUUUCAGGGGCCUUCCCCGGGAGUCAAACAACCAACUCAAAACUGUUACAGACAAGGGGAAUUUGACUUUUUAUUUAAAACAAAGCAUUGCGAUGGUCCCAAUGGAUGUUUACACAAUGUGAUUUUUGUCUAGUGUUCUGAAUGUCAAAGUGAAGAAAUUCAACCAUGCGUGGGUAAACGGUCGGAGUAACUAUGACUCUCUUAAGGUAGCCAAAUGCCUCUUCAUCUAAUUAGUGAUGCGUAUGAAUGUAUUAAUAAGAUUCCCACUGUCCCUGUCUAAUAUACAGCGAAACCACAGCCAAGGGAACAUGUUUGGCAGAAUCAGCGGGGAAAGAAGACCCUUUUGAGCUUGAAUCUAGUCCGACUUUAUGAAAUGACCUGAGAGGUGUAGUAUAAGUGGGAGUUGAAAGGCGAAAGUGCAAUACCACUACUUUUAACGUUAUUUUACUUAUUCCGUGAAUAGGAAGAGGGGGAGUACCCCUCUUUUUGGACCCAAGGCUCGCUUUGCGUGUCGAUUUGGGGGGAAGACAUUGUCAAGUGGGGAGUUUGGCUGGGGUGGCACAUCAGUUAAAAGAUAACGCAGGUGUCCUAAGAUGAGCUCAACGAAAAUAGAAAAAUCGUGUGGAUCAGAAGGACAACAGCCUAACGAUCUGAUUUCCCGUACGAAUACGAACCGUGAAUGCGUAGCCUAACGAUCUUUUAGACCUUCAGAGUUCUAAGCUGGAGGUGUCAGAAAAGUUACCACGAGGAUAACUAGCUUGUGGCAGCCAAGCUAUAUAGCGAAAUUUAUUUUUGAUCCUUCGAUGUCGGCUCUUCCUAUCAUUGUGAGCAGAAUUCACCAAGUGUUGGAUUGUUCACCCACAAAUAGGGAACGUGAGCUGGGUUUACACCAUCGUGAGUGAGGUUAGUUUUACCUUACUGAUGACAAUGUCACAAUAGUAAUUAAACAUAGUAAGAGAGGAACUGUAGAUUUACAUAAUUAGUCAUCGCGCUUGGUUGAAAGCCAGUGGCGCGAAGCUACCAUGUGUUGGAUUAUGAAUGAACGCCUCAAAGUCAGAAUCCAGGCAAGGAAUGACGCAUGCGCCCGCCGUCCGCUUGCCGACCCGCAGUAGGGGCCAUUAGCCCCCAAGGGAACGUUUUGUUGGCUAAGUCACCGGGACGGAAGUGGCGCGGUGACUGCCUUGAAGUACAAUUUCCCUUGAGCGGUGGGUAGAAAUCUUUGCAGAAGACAUAAAUACGUGACGGGGAAUUGUAAGUGGAAGAGUGGCCUUGCUGCCAUAAUCCACUGAGAUACAACCCUUUCUCACUCCGAUUCCA
This is a non-coding RNA of Solanum tuberosum (potato), 3381 nucleotides long. The record is from Rfam. NCBI's taxonomy places the organism in Eukaryota, Viridiplantae, Streptophyta, Magnoliopsida, Solanales, Solanaceae.